UGGAAAAUGAUGACAGUAUAUCAUGAACCAAGGAUUGUGAUUAACCCAAUUUUGUGCAUCUGGGAUCCAAA
Small nucleolar RNA from Tursiops truncatus (common bottlenose dolphin), 71 nucleotides. The record is from Ensembl. Lineage: Eukaryota; Metazoa; Chordata; Mammalia; Artiodactyla; Delphinidae.